Molecule: regulatory RNA element, 105 nt
Organism: Vibrio parahaemolyticus RIMD 2210633
Lineage: Bacteria; Pseudomonadati; Pseudomonadota; Gammaproteobacteria; Vibrionales; Vibrionaceae
Rfam family: c-di-GMP-I riboswitch aptamer
About the family: GEMM was predicted in a large-scale screen for bacterial structured RNA regulatory elements. Genes associated with GEMM are involved in a diverse array of functions, including chemotaxis regulation, signal transduction, secretion and chitin.
Source: Rfam
AUCACAUUUCGGCAAACCAUUCGAAAGGAUGGGACGCAAAGCUUCCAGUCUGCCAGCACUGCUUAACUAGUCAACACUAGUGCUUAAGAUAACGGGGUUGCCACU